Molecule: non-coding RNA, 710 nt
Organism: Arachis ipaensis
Lineage: Eukaryota; Viridiplantae; Streptophyta; Magnoliopsida; Fabales; Fabaceae
Source: RefSeq, a predicted model, not a curated record
GGGGGUAGAGGAUGAAGAAAGAACACCAAACCCUUGCUUCAAUUUCAAUUCACCACAACUCUCAAUUCGGAGUUCCGAUCUCCACACCGUUUGUGGCCAUGCGACCACCGCGUCGAGCUCUACAAAACUCACUGAACAAUUUGGGUUGAAUUAACUUUGGAGACUCGUUGGGUCUUGUCUCAAACGAUCGUGGGUAAGAGUGAAUUAUGUGGGUUGAAGACAAAUUGGCAAUAUUGAAGGCUUGAGACUGAACCUUGGGAGCUAAGUUGAUGAUUGAUGAGCAUUUGGGGCUUGAAGAUCAUGAAUUGAGGACCUUGGGGUAUUUCGAGCUUUAGGGAGGAAUCGACUAAGGUAUGGUUUUGGUUUCUCGUAGAUAAUGUGUAAUAUAACAUGAAAACUUAGGCUAGUUGACAGUAGGAUAAGUUGAAUUGGUGUAUGAUGCAUAUUAGUGGAUAUAGACAUAAAUAUUGAAGUUAAUGUGGUUGGUAAUGAAUUAAAAUGAAUUGGUUGGAUAGGAUGAGAAGUUGUGACAUGUGUUUGUAUAUGUAGUUAAAGUUAAAAGAUUGAUGAUUUGUUGUUGAAUUUGGUGGGACAAUCAUGGUGAAUUUGUUGAAUGGGUUGUAUGGUUAUGAAUGUUGAUAUGUGUGGAGCUAAUGAAAGUGUGUGACAUUGUGUGAGUAUAAUUUGUGUUGAAAUGAUUGUGGUGUAGU